Cavia porcellus (domestic guinea pig) is the source of this 2730-nucleotide long non-coding RNA. RefSeq lists it as uncharacterized. Lineage: Eukaryota; Metazoa; Chordata; Mammalia; Rodentia; Caviidae. The transcript is spliced from 3 exons. The record is from RefSeq and is a predicted model, not a curated record.
AGUAUUCUGCUCUUCUUUCUAUUGACCUCUUUGUCAUAAGUGGCAAAACCUGCCACUUACAUAUUUCUUGGGUAACCAGCUCCAAGUCUUCUGGUUUUUUUUUUCUGGAUACUCAAUAGUAUUUUACCUCUGACUAUUAUGCUGACAUAAUGCAUGUUUGGUUUCACAUGCAAUAUUGCUACACUCACUUUGGGAUUUUAGAGAAGCAAAGAAAGGACAUCCAGAGGUCAUGUGCAGGAUUUUUCCUGCCAGGCCAAAAAUAGAAGCAAACUGCUCUUUGGUUAGAAGUAAUGGAAAUUGCCUCAAUACUUCACUUUUAAAUGGGCCAAGGGAGACACACAUUCUUUUAACUGAGCACUAAAUUUUAAUUAAAAACAUUUGUAGUGUAGGAAACAGAACUGUGCCUAGGAAUUGUCUCAGCAAGCCUGUGAGAUUUGGUUUGGUACUGAGUGUUGCUGCAAGAGAAGGCGGUCUUCUCAUCCUCUACAGAUGCAGGGAAGACUUCUGAUUCUACAGAUUAUCAUUAUACGUUUUUAACAAUUUACUCUCUGUUCUUUCCCCUGGUGUGUGUCUGUGCAGUCACAUAUUGCAGGCUUUCCACCUCUGCUACUGUCUUCAUCCUUAUUGAUCUGAUGAACACUCCAUUUGUAGUGACAACUGUAUCCCAUUGAUCAUCUCUGACAGUUACUCUAUUGCCUCGGUGUGUAUAAUUGAAAGCCAGACAUCUCUUCUCUAAGUGAGAAACGCGCUUUCAGCUGGCCAGCUGUUGUCUUAUGACUGAAAAGUGACUUCAUGUUGGAAAACAAGGUAAUUUGUCUCUGGUAUUUGUAUUGUUCAGGCCUAGCAAUGGGGACAAAGGCCUUGGCCUCCUGCCACUUCCUCCUCUUCAAGGACAGUGAAAAACUGAGGGGGAAUUUGAGUGUAUGCACAGCAGUAGGGUUUGUUUUCCAAGGUUUAAAGUUUGUAUUCAUUUAUUUAUCUCUUUGGGUUGGGGUCUCACUGUUCAGGCUGGCUCUAAAUAAUCCUUCUGCCUCAGCCUCCAGAAUAGCUGGGGCUACAGAUGUGAGCCCCAGGCCCACCAAAAGUAUUUAACAUAAGAACAUUAAUAUUUCUUGUUUAAUGCUUAAACAUUAUUAUGUUUAUUUUCUUUAUUUUCUUUAUGGCUGAAUAAUUAGUGGAAUUUUUGAAAGUGCCUUGGAGAUUGGAAGAGGAAAAACAAGCAAGGUCUUUGCAAAUGGUGAAUCUAGCUGCCCUGUGAUGACCUGGGGACUCUGGUGGAGAAGAUGGGUUGAAGAGAAAGCGCUGACGUGAUGUCAGAAGCAGCUGCAGUUCCGAGUGGCUGCAGCCUCAAGUGCUGUUGUUUUGGAAACACUGAAAACUCACGGGCCUCACAGAGCUCUGUGUUGCAAACGAGGCAAGGAUAGAUCAGAAGCCCUGGCUUGAUUCUCUGGUGUUCCCACCCCUAGCCGGUAAGGUCAUGCUGUAUUUUCUAUAUUCAGGUUAAAGACCCCACCUGCUUGCCUACCCCUACACCACGAUGUGAUGGCUUUGUGACUCCCUUGAGAUUGAUCUUGAGUAACUUACAGUCCUUUGGUUCUACUAAAAAUCAGAAAGAUUAUGUUUCCCAUCUCCAAGUAGUUAGUCUCUAAAACUGUUUUCAUAUCUUUUCAGAGAAUAGAUCUGAAAACAAUUUAUCAUUCCAUUCUUUAUGCACAUUGCAAAAGUAUACUUUAGGGAAGCUAUGUCUAAAUUUUUUUUGUGUUUUUGUCUGUGCAAUGGUAUAUUUUAUUUAAAUUUUGUCUUUUUUUCUUUUAUGAUGAAAAGAUAUUCAUUGAACGUGUUCAUUUAUAUGUUUUUUUUUUUUUUUACAAUUGAACAAGGAUUCUACAGUCAGCACAUAAACAUUUACAAAUCUUAAAUUAAUGCUGCCUUAUAUGGAAGGCCUCUGAUUUCCUCUCCUUCUGUCAAUUUGCUGUGUGAUCCCACAUUCCCUUUAGCACCUGGACAUUUCUCCCAGAAGCAGAGGUGACGUCUCCUGUUGGCCUGUGUCAGGGUGGUUCUGGAGCCUGACAAGCAGUGUGUGGCAGGAGGGGAGGAGCCCUGAGGGGGAUGGGGAGGAUGGAUAGGCCUGGCUUUCUCCCUGAAGCAACUGUGUCAGGAGCCUUUAUUUUUGAGCCCAAAUUGGUCUUCUGGCAGUGUAGUCAAAACCUGAAGAACACUGUGAAGCCCGGGGAAGUGGCUGCUGGCCUGCCUUCUGCUUUCAGUCCUGCUGUACCACAGGGCCAGCCACUGACAGCACAGACACCAGGUGCUGGCAACUGUGCAGAGCAAUGAUACCAAAAUAUGAGGCCAUUUUAAGAAUUGUCGGUUACUAGCGAUACAUCUGAGCAGCUUACAUUUUCUUCUUCCUUAGGAGGCUGAUAGGGGAGGGGAGUGUGGGCGAUAUGCACUGACAGGUGCUAGCCUGGAUGUUAACUUCCUGUGACAGUUCUGAUGCCACUGUUUGUCAACAAACCUUUCGGCUGGGGUGCUGGUACACAGGAUGCCUUUUACCUAGAUAUAAUACAGUGCUGUGCUUUUAAUUUUACUUAGAAACAAUAAAUGCAAAGGACUUCGUUUCCACACCCCACCUCCUCGGUGCCCCUCAAACAGUGCCCGGUCCACCCCCGGCCCAGCCUCUCGGGGCCUGGCGAGCGCGCAGAGCCUGCGUCCUUCUCGCCCGCGUCACCU